AGAGUUUGAUCCUGGCUCAGAUUGAACGCUGGCGGCAUGCCUUACACAUGCAAGUCGAACGGCAGCACGGGAGCUUGCUCCUGGUGGCGAGUGGCGAACGGGUGAGUAAUAUAUCGGAACGUACCCUAGAGUGGGGGAUAACGCAGCGAAAGUUGCGCUAAUACCGCAUACGAUCUACGGAUGAAAGUGGGGGAUCGCAAGACCUCAUGCUCAUGGAGCGGCCGAUAUCUGAUUAGCUAGUUGGUGGGGUAAAGGCCUACCAAGGCAUCGAUCAGUAGCUGGUCUGAGAGGACGACCAGCCACACUGGAACUGAGACACGGUCCAGACUCCUACGGGAGGCAGCAGUGGGGAAUUUUGGACAAUGGGGGCAACCCUGAUCCAGCAAUGCCGCGUGAGUGAAGAAGGCCUUCGGGUUGUAAAGCUCUUUUGUCAGGGAAGAAACGGUGAGGGCUAAUAUCCUUUGCUAAUGACGGUACCUGAAGAAUAAGCACCGGCUAACUACGUGCCAGCAGCCGCGGUAAUACGUAGGGUGCAAGCGUUAAUCGGAAUUACUGGGCGUAAAGCGUGCGCAGGCGGUUAUGUAAGUCAGAUGUGAAAUCCCCGGGCUCAACCUGGGAAUGGCAUUUGAGACUGCAUGGCUAGAGUGUGUCAGAGGGGGGUAGAAUUCCACGUGUAGCAGUGAAAUGCGUAGAGAUGUGGAGGAAUACCGAUGGCGAAGGCAGCCCCCUGGGAUAACACUGACGCUCAUGCACGAAAGCGUGGGGAGCAAACAGGAUUAGAUACCCUGGUAGUCCACGCCCUA
This 803-nucleotide ribosomal RNA is filed under the name uncultured bacterium. RNAcentral's name for it is "bacterial SSU rRNA". It matches the Rfam family "Bacterial small subunit ribosomal RNA", at positions 8 to 804 of the family's 1533-position model. The record is from RNAcentral.